Molecule: ribosomal RNA, 460 nt
Filed under: uncultured bacterium
Lineage: Bacteria
Description: partial 16S ribosomal RNA
Rfam family: Bacterial small subunit ribosomal RNA
Source: RNAcentral
CCUACGGGUGGCAGCAGUGAGGAAUAUUGGUCAAUGGCCGUAAGGCUGAACCAGCCAAGUCGCGUGAAGGAAGAAUGAUCUAUGGUUUGUAAACUUCUUUUAUAGAGGAAUAAAGGUAUCCACGUGUGGAUAUUUGCAUGUACCUUAUGAAUAAGCAUCGGCUAACUCCGUGCCAGCAGCCGCGGUAAUACGGAGGAUCCGAGCGUUAUCCGGAUUUAUUGGGUUUAAAGGGUGCGUAGGUUGGUUUUUAAGUCAGUGGUGAAAGUUUGUGGCUCAACCAUAAAAUUGCAGUUGAUACUGGAAGACUUGAGUGUAUUUGAGGUAGGCGGAAUGCGUGGUGUAGCGGUGAAAUGCUUAGAUAUCACGAAGAACUCCGAUUGCGAAGGCAGCUUACUAAGCCAUAACUGACAUUGAAGCACGAAAGCGUGGGGAUCAAACAGGAUUAGAUACCCGAGUAGUC